GGGGGUGAAGAGCGGACAGCGCGUCCCAGCUCUGGGGCGGGGCACAGUAGGGCGGAAUAGAAGCUAGCGCGGGGACCCGCGUGAAAGGGGACCGGAGCAUGAAAGGACGUCCACGUCUGGACCCGGUUCCUGCCCUAUCCCCACGACCAGGAGCGUUGUGAGUGAGUGCCCAAAGACGAGCAGCGCCAGGUGCCAUGCGCACAGUAUCUGAAAGAGAGGAAGUAAAACUCAAAAGAAGUGAAAUUCCAAAAGACAGAAGCAGAAUUCAAGCUCUGGAGCUGCCAUCAACACCCCCUUCCCCCAGCGUACCCCAACCAAAAUGGCUGCUCUUGGACACACACUGCCCUUCUACACUGGCACCAAGCCAACCUUUCCAAUGGACACUACUCUGGCUGUCAUUAUCACCAUCUUCCUGACUGCACUGGUCACCUUCAUCAUUAUCCUGCCUGGCAUCCGUGGGAAGACGAGGCUGUUCUGGCUGCUUCGGGUGGUGACCAGCUUAUUCAUCGGGGCUGUGAUCCUGGCUGUGAACUUCAGUUCUGAGUGGUCUGUGGGCCAUGUCAACGCCAACACAACGUACAAAGCCUUCAGUCCCAAGUGGGUCAGUGUGGACGUGGGACUGCAGAUCGGGCUCGGCGGCGUCAACAUCACCCUCACAGGCACCCCAGUGCAGCAGCUGAAUGAAACCAUCAACUACAAUGAGGCAUUCGCAUGGCGCCUGGGCAGGAGCUAUGCAGAGGAGUAUGCAAAGGCCCUGGAGAAGGGCCUUCCAGACCCAGUGCUAUACCUGGCUGAGAAGUUCACCCCUCGAAGCCCAUGUGGCCUGUACAACCAGUACCGCCUGGCAGGACACUAUGCCUCUGCCAUGCUGUGGCAAGAUUUCUCCUUCAUACAUUUGGGACAUCUUCUGCCUAGGUCCUGAAGUCCUCUCUAGCAGGUUAGUGGUGCCUGGGCCAGCCCUCAUUGCAUCUUGGCUUUCUAGGGUGGCAUUCCUCUGCUGGCUACUGGCCAAUGUGAUGUUGUCGAUGCCAGUGCUGGUUUAUGGUGGCCACAUGCUGCUGGCCACUGGUCUCUUCCAGCUGUUGGCCCUGUUCUUCUUCUCCAUGACCACGUCACUCAUAUCGCCCUGUCCCCUGCGCUUGGGCACUGCUGUGCUGCACACUCACCAUGGGCCCGCUUUCUGGAUCACGUUAGCCACAGGACUGCUGUGUAUUCUGCUUGGCCUGGUCAUGGCAGUGGCCCACAGGAUGCAGCCUCACAGACUGAAGGCUUUCUUCAACCAGAGUUCAGAGGACCCAGUGCUGGAGUGGGGCUCUGAAGAAGGAGGACUCUUGAGCCCCCACUACCGGUCCAUAGCUGAGAGUCCUGAGACCCAGGACAUUCCCAUGUCAGUGGCUUCCUCUGAGACAUGUUUUAAGGAGGAACACCCCAAAGAGUCCGACUGUUCCCUGUAAAGCUCUUCUCCUGGUAGCCACUGAGUUUCCAGACUGCCUCCAGACAUUAUUGGAGCCCCACAAAACCAGCAGAACUGUCCAGGAAGUGGGUUUCAGUUGUAUCAUGUUCAGUUGUAAUAUGUAUCCAACUUGUUGAUGUAACAGAAUAAUAUACACAGCCUACUAAUGCAAAAAAAUAAAUGAACAAAAGUGCUAAGGCUCUGAAGAGAUGUCA
RNA transcript from Mus musculus (house mouse), 1668 nucleotides. It is a transcript of the gene named dual oxidase maturation factor 1, with no coding region annotated. The record is from RefSeq and is marked validated. NCBI's taxonomy places the organism in Eukaryota, Metazoa, Chordata, Mammalia, Rodentia, Muridae. The transcript has 9 exons.